This 104-nucleotide transfer RNA is filed under the name Colletotrichum phormii. Its description in RNAcentral is "tRNA-Val". It matches the Rfam family "tRNA". From Rfam's summary of the family: Transfer RNA (tRNA) molecules are approximately 80 nucleotides in length. Their secondary structure includes four short double-helical elements and three loops (D, anti-codon, and T loops). The record is from RNAcentral. Lineage: Eukaryota; Fungi; Ascomycota; Sordariomycetes; Glomerellales; Glomerellaceae.
GGUCUGGUGGUGUAGUUGGUUAUCACGUCAGUCUAACAUCGGGAUCGCAUCUUGCGCUUCACCUGGAACACUGAAGGUCUCCGGUUCAAGUCCGGGCUAGAUCA